GAUUUUGAAAUACUAGAAAACAAGGUCUAGAUCUUUGAUAAAAUGUGCAAAUUUUUAUAGUAGUAGCUAAUUCAUGUGUAAGAAUUGUCAUUAAAAUAUAGAAAAUGCCAUGUUUGAUCAUAUUUAUGAUUGUAUUUUACAAAAAAAAGAAUUCUUUUGUUUGAUUCAUUUUUUUCCAACUUUGUCAAAUAAGGGGAGGCAAUUCAAAUGCAAGGGCAGAUAAUUCA
Molecule: long non-coding RNA, 227 nt
Filed under: Mytilus galloprovincialis (Mediterranean mussel)
Lineage: Eukaryota; Metazoa; Mollusca; Bivalvia; Mytilida; Mytilidae
Source: RNAcentral